AAACGCAAGUAUACAAAAUCCAUUCCCCUCUCAUUCUCCCUCUCCUUUCCUCUCGCUCGACAGGGACUCUCUUCAAACGCACACCCUAUCUCUUGAAAGGCACAUUCUCUCUCUACACAGGCUUUCUCGCUCAGUCGCUCUCUCUAUCCUUAAGUUCACAUUCUUUCUCUCACUUCACAGGUACUGCCACAACAGUGCCUCUCUCCCUCUCUGCAUCUCGCCUGUUGAAAAAAAGCAAGAGUCAUGAAAAACUCGACGAAGAGUGAUCUGAGAUAGUCCUCUACAUGAUUUUUUUGGGCUCCGGAACCCUAGAUUUUAGGCUUCUGCGGGCUUGCAUGGCGGAAUUUUGAGAGGCGGGAAGGAAGUGUUUGAGAACCGCGAAAGAUAGGAUGUAUAAGGUUAGGUUUCUUUUUGAACUGGAUAUGGAGGAGGAGAUUUGAGUAUUUAGAGGAUGAUUUUCAAUCUACUUUAAAACGAGAUUUUGGCCGAGUUUACGUUAUCUUUGAAAUGAGAAUCGAAUGAAUUUGUCGAGCUAGGAGAACCUGUUAAGAUGUGCUUAUGAUGAUAUCAUCUUUUGAGCAAUGUUUUUCUUGUAAACAUUACAGAAAUCUGGAAGGAAUUGAAAGAAGCUUGCGAGGCUCUAAUUCUAUUGUGCAGGAG
Non-coding RNA from Amborella trichopoda, 660 nucleotides. Lineage: Eukaryota; Viridiplantae; Streptophyta; Magnoliopsida; Amborellales; Amborellaceae. The record is from RefSeq and is a predicted model, not a curated record.